GUGUGACGAAAAAGAAAGUAUAAUAUAUGUUACAUAUCAACCUGCUUAUUCUAAUUCUGCUCCCUCCCUCUCUAUUUGAUACAUUUAUUCAACAAAUAAUUACCAUAUACAUAUACAUAGAUUUCAUUUUCCAUGAGAUGCCUUCUUGUAGGUUCAUAAUAAUCUCUUCAACUUUUGAAUAUGAUUACAAAACCAUCAACAGUCUCUGCAAUGACUUUGACCUGCAUCUGGGAACAAGGCAGACCAAGUAUAGCCCUUCAAAAAUAGCUACUUUUUUUUUUUUUUUUUUUNNNNNNCUAUUCACUCCAUCAUAGCCACUGCAGAAGGGUCAUUAGCAACAAUUUGAUAAGCAUCUUCAUCAUCAUUUUCUCUAUCCCCUUCUUGAUUCUGGUCAACAUUUUCGCUUUCUCCAUCCUCUGUUGUUGCUGAUUCUUGUUGUUGUCGUUCUUCUUGGCUAUCCACCAUAUGCAUUAGAAUUUCUUCAGGCUUCAACUCAUGACCAGAAUUAACUGAAUUAUCAACUUUUCUAGUCUUCUUGUUAUAUAGAACAUCAAGCUGGUGAAAAUAAGGACAAGUCUUUGAAUCAUCAGGCCUUUUCUUAUUGCUCUCUCUUACUCUCUUGAAGUACUUAUUCAUAUUCUCCCAUUUCUCUUUGCACCUCUUCGCAUUUCUAUUAUAACCUUUUUCAUUGCUGCUGAUAUCUCCUCCCACAAAGGCCCUUUGGGUCCAUUCUCUUGAUAUUGCAUAUCAAGGGUAGUCCUUAGCCUAAUCAAAGCUUCAAUUUCUUCUUUAGGCCAUCUCGAUGAGCUCAUAUGAGCAAAAUUCUCAAGAUUAUUAUUUUCCUGUGCCUUUACUACUUUUUCUACGGGAGCUACUUCGUUCUCAGACAAUUGCACUGGAUGUACUUGAUUCUCAGACAAUUGCACUGAGCUAGCUUGCUCUGAGAACUUCUGUAAGAAGGAAAGAACAGCUGCAUCUUUUGCAGCUGCUAUUGAUCUUUCCUGCAUUAAAAGCUCACGUUCUCUCUUAAUCCUUUCCAAUUCUUGCAUCUUCCACGCUUCCUCUCUCGCCA
Molecule: unclassified non-coding RNA, 1072 nt
Filed under: Hevea brasiliensis (rubber tree)
Lineage: Eukaryota; Viridiplantae; Streptophyta; Magnoliopsida; Malpighiales; Euphorbiaceae
Source: RNAcentral